UACGGGGGGAGCAAGCGUUGUUCGGAUUUACUGGGCGUAACGGGCGCGUAGGCGGUCGUGACAAGUCACUUGUGAAAUCUCCGGGCUUAACUCGGAACGGUCAAGUGAUACUGUCGGACUAGAGUACAGAAGGGGCAACUGGAAUUCUCGGUGUAGCGGUGAAAUGCGUAGAUAUCGAGAGGAACACCUGCGGCGAAGGCGGGUUGCUGGGCUGAUACUGACGCUGAGGCGCGAAAGCCAGGGGAGCGAACGGG
Molecule: ribosomal RNA, 254 nt
Filed under: uncultured bacterium
Lineage: Bacteria
Description: partial 16S ribosomal RNA
Rfam family: Bacterial small subunit ribosomal RNA
Source: RNAcentral